GACGAACGCUGGCGGCGUGCUUAACACAUGCAAGUCGAGCGGUAAGGCCCUUUCGGGGGUACACGAGCGGCGAACGGGUGAGUAACACGUGGGUGACCUGCCCUCAGCUCUGGGAUAAGCCUGGGAAACCGGGUCUAAUACUGGAUAUGACUCCAUGACGCAUGUUGUGGGGUGGAAAGCCUUGUGCGGCUGAGGAUGGGCCCGCGGCCUAUCAGCUUGUUGGUGGGGUGAGGCCUACCAAGGCGACGACGGGUAGCCGGCCUGAGAGGGCGACCGGCCACACUGGGACUGAGACACGGCCCAGACUCCUACGGGAGGCAGCAGUGGGGAAUCUUGCGCAAUGGGCGAAAGCCUGGCGCAGCGACGCCGCGUGA
This 374-nucleotide ribosomal RNA is filed under the name uncultured bacterium. Its description in RNAcentral is "bacterial SSU rRNA". It matches the Rfam family "Bacterial small subunit ribosomal RNA", at positions 28 to 404 of the family's 1533-position model. The record is from RNAcentral.